Long non-coding RNA from Mauremys reevesii (Reeves's turtle), 185 nucleotides. RefSeq lists it as uncharacterized. The record is from RefSeq and is a predicted model, not a curated record. The transcript has 2 exons. Lineage: Eukaryota; Metazoa; Chordata; Testudines; Geoemydidae.
GCUGAUAUGGAUAUAUAUCAAUACCUAGAAGUCCAGGAAAAAGGAAAAAUUAACAAUGAGAUUUCAUCACUAGGAUGGUCAUGCAGGCUUGAAAGAAUCAGAAGACUGGAAAAGAGAAUUUAACUCCUGGUGAUCCAUCUAUGGGCAAAUGGUGGAAAAAUUCUGUUAACAUUUCUUGGAUCAUG